This is a long non-coding RNA of Lolium perenne, 405 nucleotides long. RefSeq lists it as uncharacterized. Lineage: Eukaryota; Viridiplantae; Streptophyta; Magnoliopsida; Poales; Poaceae. The record is from RefSeq and is a predicted model, not a curated record.
GGAGAACAGGUCAAUAAAUGAAAUUGUGUGCUCACACCAUUCCCACAAUAAAUGAGAAAUCGCCUGUACAGAGCUGUCCAUCUCCAACGACGACUCUAUUUAUACAUGCGGAAGGUUAGGCUUGCACAGAGAGGCGACAGUUUGCACUUUGCAGAGGGACUAGUGGAUGUCGAGAAGAACGUCGAGGCUCCCUCCCAGUAUUUCGUUUCUCCGGCCCAGAUUUAGGAUGAAGGCGGAGGUCCUGAAUUCCUCUUCUCCGAGAUGCACUUACUGCGCACAAAUGGCUUCUAGCGGGGUGGUUUGUUGAGAUUAGAUCUGGGGGUGAGAACGUGGACAAGAAUCAUACAAAUGGCUUUCAAAGAGGUGGUUUGCUGAGAUUAGAGCUAGGGGCGAGAACAUGGACAA